GCGCUCGUAGCUCAGCUGGAUAGAGUACCUGGCUACGAACCAGGCGGUCAGAGGUUCGAAUCCUCUC
RNAcentral lists this transfer RNA (67 nucleotides) under Vibrio cholerae HC-72A2. Its description in RNAcentral is "partial tRNA-Arg". It matches the Rfam family "tRNA". Rfam says of the family: Transfer RNA (tRNA) molecules are approximately 80 nucleotides in length. The record is from RNAcentral. Lineage: Bacteria; Pseudomonadati; Pseudomonadota; Gammaproteobacteria; Vibrionales; Vibrionaceae.